GCACUCGUGGCGGAAUCGGCAGACGCGCAAGCUUGAGGUGCUUGUGGGGUUACCCGUGGGAGUUCGAGUCUCCCCGAGUGCA
This 82-nucleotide transfer RNA is filed under the name Verrucomicrobiota bacterium. RNAcentral describes it as "tRNA-Leu". It matches the Rfam family "tRNA". From Rfam's summary of the family: Transfer RNA (tRNA) molecules are approximately 80 nucleotides in length. Their secondary structure includes four short double-helical elements and three loops (D, anti-codon, and T loops). RNAcentral also lists the same sequence under 1 other name. Lineage: Bacteria; Pseudomonadati; Verrucomicrobiota. The record is from RNAcentral.